Molecule: ribosomal RNA, 253 nt
Filed under: uncultured bacterium
Lineage: Bacteria
Description: partial 16S ribosomal RNA
Rfam family: Bacterial small subunit ribosomal RNA
Source: RNAcentral
UACAGAGGUCUCAAGCGUUGUCCGGAUUUAUUGGGCGUAAAGAGCGUGUAGGCGGCUUUACAGGUCCGUUGUGAAAACUCGAGGCUCAACCUCGAGACGCCGGUGGAAACCGUAAAGCUAGAGUCCGGAAGAGGAGAGUGGAAUUCCUGGUGUAGCGGUGAAAUGCGCAGAUAUCAGGAAGAACACCCGUGGCGAAAGCGGCUCUCUGGGACGGUACUGACGCUGAGACGCGAAAGCGUGGGGAGCGAACAGG